Acipenser ruthenus (sterlet) is the source of this 654-nucleotide long non-coding RNA. RefSeq lists it as uncharacterized. The transcript is spliced from 3 exons. Lineage: Eukaryota; Metazoa; Chordata; Actinopteri; Acipenseriformes; Acipenseridae. The record is from RefSeq and is a predicted model, not a curated record.
UAAGAACCUACCCUCAUAUUCCGGCAGAGCAUCUCAAUCAUGACCCCAUAUGCCAUUCAGUCCUGGGUCUCUCUCAAGCAGAGACUGCAAAUUGAUUUUGGAUCGAGAACACCAAAGCCAGGCCACCAGAGAUGCAAGUGGUGUCUUCAGAGCGUGUCCUCCCAUGUCUAAAAGAUUGAUUAAAGAGCAACCGCAUGGCUGAUGAAAAAGAGGCUGUUUAAUGCCCACCUCUCAUGUCCCUCAGAUUGGAUGCUGAUGUGGUCACUUCCUUCAUCAAACUGAUUUCUGGGGCUGUUUCCUUCGCUGCUCAAGUAUGACCUUUGUGAAGUGAUAUCUGCCUACUGCUUAGACAGGUGGUGUGUCUACUCAGCAUUUCUCAUGUGACACUCAAGUCUAGACUGACCAGGCUUUGACCUCAUAGUUUGAGUCCAUAAAGUCACUAGACUAGAGUUAGUUUUUUUAAAUUUUGUCAGUAAAAGGUCAUCCAAUAACCUUCACAAUCAUCUUGUAUGAAUCUGUUAUGGUUCAAUAAACAUACUCAAGCUAUUAUAUUGGAAACAAGUAAUACAGGUUAAACAUGAAAUAAUAAAAUAACUAUUGCAUUUAUGUCUGCAUUGACCCUAUCUGGAUUGACCCUGGUAGGGGUUAGUCCUU